This 467-nucleotide ribosomal RNA is filed under the name uncultured bacterium. Its description in RNAcentral is "partial 16S ribosomal RNA". It matches the Rfam family "Bacterial small subunit ribosomal RNA", at positions 29 to 507 of the family's 1533-position model. The record is from RNAcentral.
ACGCACGCUGGCGGCGUGCUUAACACAUGCAAGUCGCACGGAAAGGCCCUGCUUUUGUGGGGUGCUCGAGUGGCGAACGGGUGAGUAACACGUGAGUAACCUGCCCUUGACUUUGGGAUAACUUCAGGAAACUGGGGCUAAUACCGGAUAGGAGCUCCUGCUGCAUGGUGGGGGUUGGAAAGUUUCGGCGGUUGGGGAUGGACUCGCGGCUUAUCAGCUUGUUGGUGGGGUAGUGGCUUACCAAGGCUUUGACGGGUAGCCGGCCUGAGAGGGUGACCGGCCACAUUGAGACUGAGAUACGGCCCAGACUCCUACGGGAGGCAGCAGUGGGGAAUAUUGCACAAUGGGCGGAAGCCUGAUGCAGCAACGCCGCGUGCGGGAUGACGGCCUUCGGGUUGUAAACCGCUUUCGCCUGUGACGAAGCGUGAGUGACGGUAAUGGGUAAAGAAGCACCGGCUAACUACGUG